GGGCGUUCCAGACCGUUCACACGCCUUCACACGGCGGGGGUCACAGGUUCAAACCCUGUACUGCCCACCA
This 70-nucleotide transfer RNA is filed under the name Thiobacillus sp. 65-1402. Its description in RNAcentral is "tRNA-Leu". The record is from RNAcentral. Lineage: Bacteria; Pseudomonadati; Pseudomonadota; Betaproteobacteria; Nitrosomonadales; Thiobacillaceae.